AACAUCCUUUUCUAACCACCAACAUGGAAAUUGACCAAUUAAUAGCAACGUCAAUUUCCCUCACUUUCCGAACGAAGGCAUCUUUCCAUGAAUCUGAUGAUCUCGUGUUCUUAGACACCCCAUCAUAGAUUUCCUCUGCAGCAUAAUCAUGAUGGAAAAUCAUUUUCUCGUGAGGUCGCAUUAGCGACAUACGUACAGGUACAUAUUCCACGUCUUAACAAAGAGUUAGUUCAGUAAUACUUGCACCGUAGACAAGCAAGUUGAGUGCAACUUGGGCUUUGGAAGAAAGCGCAUUUUGUUAUCCCGUUGAUUAAGGAAGCCAUACAUACUAUAUACGCUUGCUUAUUUCAUUUACACAACCAUAUUCCUCUUUUCUCUUAUUUCCUCUUUCAUUGACAAACCAGAAAGUCGAUAAUACAACUAUUAUACGUAACAAACAUCGCUAACCGAACAUUAUCUAUCGUGGUUUAAAUUUACGAUUAAAUACAGAUUUAAAUAUGUUCACUCGUUCGUUAUGCAAACUAAUAAAGUUAAGUAAUAAAAUGGAUUUAUCAUAAAUUUCUCUCGUAUUCCUAGAGUAGAUUCAAUACCUUGUUUCGCGUUUCGAAACGAUUAAUAUAUAUGUCGGAGAUGGAAAGACACCUAAUACUGUAAUUUGGAUUCUGCCAUAGCCGUAGUUAAGCAAUCACCGUCUUUCAGCUCGAUUGUAAUUGUCUGAAAUCUAUGAGAGUGAGUUUGGGUUCGAGGUGACAAUCAGUGGCCGAACGUAGCCGCGGUCAAGGGACGAACGUUUUAUCUAACAAAGUUAUGGAGAGAGUCUAUAGCCCUCCAUAAAAAGAAAUAGUUGUAGCGGCACUCGACAGUAAACAUUCUAACGGUUUCUAUCCCGUGGCCCGUCAUACGCAGACCCUAUUCUUUGGGUAGGUUGAUUGCCGGAUGUCGAGGCAUAUCCGCAAUAUAUGUUCAGCCAGCCUGAUGACCCGUUAUAAACCUUAAGCUUUAGUUAACAAAAAUAGGCAAACAGUUUUUUCUGCGAACGACGCUUCCGGAGACUGACCAAUUAACAGUAACGACAAUUUCCCUCACCCUCCGAACGAAGACUUUUCUCCACGAAUAUAAAGACCUGGUGCCGCGACUGCGGAUAUAGUUUUUCCUGGACAGUGUCACCGUGACGGAGGGAGAGUCUUGAGUACGAUCUCAUCAACAAUGGAGGUAUCAUUCCGACAGAGUGCUUACUCCAUGUGCUAACUGUGAGUAUAACCUAGACGUUGUCGAAGAGUAAAGAGUAAAGAGUCCCGUUGACCGCGGAUUCGUUAUCGAACCUAAGACUAUUGUCAUUAGUGUCGCGAGUGUCUAACCGCCGCAGUUAUUUGUCAAAUCUAUCGUCUCCAUACUUGUGCCAAUAAACUCUGCAUCGUACCAUAACAAUUGCUAAUACUGGUGAAGAUUCGUUAAACGCCCGCACCUCCAAUCCUACUGUGAACCCGACAUAUAAAAUGGCGUAAUAAUUAUUGAUUGUUAGAAUGAUCCAAUUGUAUCUCGUAUUUGAUCAUGAAUUUCCCUACUUUAUAAAAUGAAAUGUAACAAUGUAUUAAAUCUGGUCAGAAAGUAAAUCGCAGAGUCAAAAAUAUCGGCAAGACGAACGACGAAUUAUUUCGUUUGCUUUUAUGAGUGGAUUGGAGAUUACUUAGGGCGAAUCCUAGCAUUGUCGCGUUGUCGUCCCUUUAUGCGACCAUCAUGCUGUCCUUGGAAUUUGUUGCGCCGUGCUGAUGCCAUUUUUUCCUAAUCACUAGUCGGUUGAGAUAUUCUUUAUCCCAUCUGCUCCACCGGUGCAGUCUCAGUAGUCGUAUCUUUUGCCAUACGGACAAAAAUCGCCUCAAUUGCUGUCAGGUUAGUGGUUAAUUUUUCGUAUGCGAAUGAUGUGUUUUCUACAAUCAAAAUCCUGAACAAUGCUUAUUUGAGUACUUACGAGGUAAGUUAGUAGGAAAGUUAUUUGGAAAGAUAUUUCACAGAAUAUAAUUAUUGAGAUAUGUGUAAUUUUGUGUGCUACGCUGUAUUAGCCGCGUAGUAGUGACAUACAUAUAUGAGUAUGAUUGUGUGGGAGUAUGUGCGUGUGCAGUGUCUCGUAGAACAUAAGAAUGGUGAAAAAGAUGGUGAGACAGAAGGAGUGAUGAAACAUGUGCAAUGUGUAUUUACGAAUAUCUUGUAAAUCACAUAUUAAAUAAAUAUGAAACUAUUUUAAUAUUAUUUUUACGUGUAAUGUGAGUGUUGCUAUAUGUUUCUUUCGGCAACUAAGAUCCACAAUUCUCAACAAUAAUAAGACUAUUAAACUGUUAUAAAAAUAAUAUAGAAACAUGGUUUAUUAAAAAAAAUUAUUUGCAAUAUAAUGCUUUGUCCAUGUUGAAGUAUUUACUUCUAGAAAAACUCUACAUCUUUUUCUUUUGUAUACUCGUGAUCUGGACACCGCUGUUACGAUGAAAAUAGAACUUAGUGAAGCAAAAAAGUUAACGAAAAGGAGAGGUCCAUAUUAUUGUGUCCUUGAAUAUGAAUGUUGUUUUUGGGUCACAAGGUCUAAAAACAAAAGAGCUAUAAGUAGACUUUUAUUGCUGUUUCUUGUAACUUUCAGCUGGAGUUACACGCCAAGGUUAAUUUUUUGGUAAUGUCUUUUACUGUCCAUGUAUCCACCUGCUCCCUAUACAUUCUAUUAUACAGCAACACUGCUAGAGUGAGGAUCUGGAUCAGUAUAUACCAUACCUAUACUUACUUCAAUAUAUAUUUCUAUUAUAAAUUUAUCCACGCGUUCCUCUAUCAGAUAAUUUCAACAGUCCAACAGUUCAACAAGCACUUUUUCGGAUGACAAUAUUACGAUAUCUACGUUAAACAGAAGAUUUCAUUACAUUAUCAGUCAGCCCUAAUAAUUUCAUAACUAAUAAUUCCCUAAAUUCUCUGAUAUUUGUAUCCUUCUUUGUUGUAAUCUUGUAAACUAUUAAAGCGUCUACGACUGUAAUUUCCAAAAGAAGCUGAAUGCCAAAUUUCCGGUACCGUUUGAGUUCUUUUCUAAUUGUAGUGGCAUAAGAAAAUAUUUGAUCCGAAUAAUCUAUACCACACUUUAUUGUAUGUAAGGACAGCUAGUGGUUUCAAUUUUCCAGAUGACUGUUGGCUUGUAGAAGCAGCAUGAAUGUUACGAAUAUUUCUUGUAGUUAAUACCUUGAUGGGAGUGUACUUUGCUGAUAAAUCUCACGAAUUUCCUCAUUUGAGUACGACGGUAUCAUUCAUAGUGGUUUUGGCAAAAGUACCGUUACGCAGCGGUACGACGUAGCCAUACCAUAUUUUGUAUUGGAUUUGCAUUUUUAACAUUACAGUUUAUAAUUUAAUUUAAGCUACUCAAAAACUGUACUUUUAUACGAUAUUGUCUUUUCUCUUUUUUCCUGUCUUGAAAACUGAAUCGCAAAACACGACAGAUCGAUAGCCUACUUUUAGUUGCGUGGGGCUGUGGAAACAGUGGACGUUGGAUAGUGGGGGGAAGGGAGCAUGCCACGAAAUGAUUUUUGCACAGUGAUCGCGUAUAGGUACCGCCUAUAGACUCGAAGCGUAGCCAAUCACUCCGCAAUACUAAUCCGUCGUCGUCAGUAUAUAAGCGGUCGCCGUAAAGUUUGAUAACGUUCAUUCGACAUUUGUAUCCGAGACAAGUAGAGUGCGCGUUGUACAAGAAUUUAUUGAAGUUUUUAAUUUUUUCUCUAGAAAAUCAACGUAUUAAAUUUCUAUAAAAAGAGAUUGAUUUAACGUGGAUAGAUAUCUUAUACAUAAGAUAUUCGUACACGUAUUAGCUUUGUGUAAAUAAUUGUAACCUAAAAAUUUGUUCAAUAAUAGAUAGGGUAAUGCAGUAACCGGACAGGAAGUUAUUUACAUGUAAAGGAAUUAAUUGCAACCGGAAGUGUAUUAUUACUUUACCAGACGGUUGCCAUGUACAAUCCGAACUUUCUAAGUGGCUUCCUGAGGAAAAUGUUCUGCAAUUAAAUACUCCCACUGAUGCUUUCAAUGUUUCACGACGUGUUGGUACUCAAAAGCAAAGAACUGUAUCAUAUAGAGACAAGAGAGCUCAUUUGUUAGCAGAAGAAAUAAAAUUUAAAUGUAAUGAUGUAAUAAUUAUCUAUACUAAUUAAAAGAUAAGUAUAUAUCCAAAUUUGAUUUCAUUUAGAACUCCACAGAGCUUGAAAUUUUUAUGAUCUCAGGAUAUCUUAGGAACGUACCAUUAAUGGUCUAGUUCACAUACUUGAAUUGGGAAAUUUUCAAAUGUCUCAAAUUGAUGCACCUGAAGAUCCAUAUCCAGUGGAGAAAAAGUUGAGAAAACAUUGUAAUGCAAUGGACGAUGAAUCAUCCAUGCGGAUUCUUGCACGCGCAGAUCCAGGGAAACAAGCACAGGAACAAUCCCCCUUUUCUAGCAAUCAUGAGUAAAUUCAAGAGAUAUAAUAAGAUAUUGGACAAAAUGUCAACAUCAAUGAAGAUUAUUCUGAGGAUACCUCCGAAGCAGAUCAGUAUGAAUUAUGCCAAAGCGAAGCUGACAGUGAAAGCUUUGAAUACAUUGAAAGUGGAAAGAUAGAAUGAUCUUCGGAUAGUGAAGAGGAACACUUCUUGAAAGUGUGUCGUAACAAGAAAAGGAUGCGUAUUCUUUUUAGUUCUGACUCCGAAGAUGAAAGGACGAGCAUUCCAAGUAUAUCCCAAAAUGUAAUAGGUGAAAUUGAAAUUGCAAUUGACGGAACAUAGUGCAUAAAACUGAAAGCAGGAGAAUCUAGGGAUAGAACGCCCGUUCGUAUGAUAUUCAAGGAUAUCGCAGGACCUACUGGCUAUGCAAAGAGAAAUAUUAUGUCGGGUUAUGUAACUAGUGCUUUCGAAUCUAUAAUUGACAGACACAUAAUGGAACACGGAAAUGAUUGCACUGAAGCCGAGGCGCAUCGAGUUUUGAAAAAGGACUGGACAAUCACAGUUGCUGAGUUGCGUAAUUUUCUAGGAAUUCUAUAUACCCGGGGCGCAUAUGAAGCGAGAUCAUUG
Long non-coding RNA from Bombus terrestris (buff-tailed bumblebee), 5049 nucleotides. RefSeq lists it as uncharacterized. NCBI's taxonomy places the organism in Eukaryota, Metazoa, Arthropoda, Insecta, Hymenoptera, Apidae. The transcript is spliced from 3 exons. The record is from RefSeq and is a predicted model, not a curated record.